This 942-nucleotide long non-coding RNA is filed under the name Brachypodium distachyon (stiff brome). RNAcentral's name for it is "long non-coding RNA (BDIS_LNC005682)". Lineage: Eukaryota; Viridiplantae; Streptophyta; Magnoliopsida; Poales; Poaceae. The record is from RNAcentral.
GAGUCGGAAAAUUAAAAUUAAGGAACGAAAGGAUUCCUUACAAUUCAAUAAGGAGGCGGUUGCAAAAAAUGGCAUCUACUCUAUAAAACCAGAUUGCGGAAAUUAAAUUAGAUGCGAUUGCAAUGCAAAAUUCAACAAGGGGGAACCUCAUGCAAAAAAGACCCAGAAUCAACAUGACUACUUGAGAAAUUACCCUAAACGGAUUGCACAUUGUAAUGCAACUGAGAUACAUGCAAAGUGUCCAGAUUUUACUUCAUUACGCCUAUGAGCCACAGCUUAGUAACAAGACAAAGAGUAAGGACGCAAAAAAGACUUAGAUUCAGCAUCUGGGGCAUAGAGCUGGACAAAAUGAUACAAAAAUGCAUAGAAAAAAAUAAUUAUAACACAGCAAGCCAAAAAAGAAUUGUAUCUGAUCAAUGUUGAUUCAAUUUUGGGUUGUGGCUUCUCUUGCCAAACUUGCCAAACUAGAUUUCAUCUAAGCAUUCAUAAAAAAAAUUCCACCCCUGCAUGGCAGAUAAAAAAUGACACAAACUAGCAGCAACAUUAAUAUGAAUAAAUGGAAAAAAGGGCAUCCGUCACCGAGAACUCGCGUUCCAGCAGCCGCCCCAAUAGAGUGUUAAACAAAAACAACACAAAGAUGGUGAUGCGAAAAUGAACCAUUACACAACAUUGAAGUCCCAGUGAUUUUCAUAGCGCCAUAUCUCUAAGAACAAGUGUUCUAACACCACUAACAGAAACCAUUACAGUACUUUGGUUUCAAAAGCGAAUCCAUUACAUAAAAUAAAGCUAGAUAGCACAUGAUUUCAUCACAUGUGAGGUAGCUGCAUAACAAAAAAGAUGAGCAGAGUUUCUUAACACAGACCACAGACUACUAGGCGAGACCUUUCCUUGAAGAUAAGGAAAGAAAUGUGAUUCUUUUCCUGCAAACAAGUAAUAUGGAUC